GUAGGGAAUAUUGGGCAAUGGAUGCAAGUCUGACCCAGCCAUCCCGCGUGCCGGAAGAAGGCCCUCAGGGUUGUAAACGGCUUUUGACGGUGAAGAAUCGACAGGAUGCGUCCUGUUUUGACGGUAGCCGUUGAAUAAGCACCGGCUAACUCCGUGCCAGCAGCCGCGGUAAUACGGAGGGUGCGAGCGUUGUCCGGAUUUAUUGGGUUUAAAGGGUGCGUAGGCUGGAAGGUCAGUCAGCGGUGAAAAGCUGUCGCUUAACGAUAGUCUUGCCGCAGAUACUUCCUUUCGUGGAUGAGGAGGAGGCCACUGGAACGGAUGGUGUAGCGGUGAAAUGCAUAGAUAUCAUCCAGAACACCGAUUGCGAAGGCAGGUGGCUGUACCUUAAUCGACGCUGAUGCACGAAAGCAUGGGGAGCAAACAGGAUUAGAUACCCCUGUAGUCC
Molecule: ribosomal RNA, 445 nt
Filed under: uncultured bacterium
Lineage: Bacteria
Description: partial 16S ribosomal RNA
Rfam family: Bacterial small subunit ribosomal RNA
Source: RNAcentral